Molecule: long non-coding RNA, 665 nt
Filed under: Rattus norvegicus (Norway rat)
Lineage: Eukaryota; Metazoa; Chordata; Mammalia; Rodentia; Muridae
Description: long non-coding RNA NONRATT020872
Source: RNAcentral
GCUUCAGACUCUGUAGGAAAUGUCUCUAAAGCCAGAGUUGUAACUCUCCUAGAUUGUCAUAACCAGGUUUAACGAGAGGAAUGGACUUAUCUAGGGUGAAGGGGGGCACAUUACAGUCUCAUACGUUUCAAACUCAGUAGGAUGCUGACCUGGUCGUUAUAUCCUUGCAGGUGACCUGGAAGGAUGUCCAGUGUACCUAUGGGGAUCACAUAUAUCGUUGGAGGGAAACUGCCUAUCUCUUGGUUUACAUGAAGACUGGAUCCUGACAGAUAUACUCACACCUUCAGAGAGUGACAGACUCUUUUCUCCUCUCCUGUACCCACAUCUGCUGCAUUUCAACGAGAAUCGUAAUUUAAAAACCAUAAUUAAGCCCUAUUUAUAAGCAAGGAUUAUUAUUAUUGCUGUGGCUUGGCUGUAGUUUGUCUCCCAACAGCUCACACACAGAAGGCUUGGUCUUUAGUAUGGAGGCGUUUGGGUGACAGAACUUUUAAGGGACAGGGCCCAGUGGGAGGUAAUCAGUUCAUGGGAUCUCUCUUCUGUGCACUAAUAGUUCCUUUUCUGUUUCUCCGUGGUGAUGCAAACAGGGUGAUCCAACAUGCCAGUGCCAAGCUGGUUGGAUCCUCUAGCUUUCAAAAUUCCAAGUCAAAUAAAUGUUAUUACACACU